This 253-nucleotide ribosomal RNA is filed under the name uncultured bacterium. RNAcentral's name for it is "partial 16S ribosomal RNA". It matches the Rfam family "Bacterial small subunit ribosomal RNA", at positions 524 to 776 of the family's 1533-position model. The record is from RNAcentral.
UACGUAGGUGGCAAGCGUUGUCCGGAUUUAUUGGGUUUAAAGGGUGCGUAGGCGGUUGUAUAAGUCAGUGCUGAAAUAUCCCGGCUUAACCGGGAGGGUGGCAUUGAUACUGUAUGACUUGAGUAAAGUUGAGGUUGGCGGAAUUGACGGUGUAGCGGUGAAAUGCUUAGAUAUCGUCAAGAACACCUAUUGCGAAGGCAGCUAACUAAGCUUUAACUGACGCUGAGGCACGAAAGUGUGGGGAUCAAACAGG